Molecule: ribosomal RNA, 460 nt
Filed under: uncultured bacterium
Lineage: Bacteria
Description: partial 16S ribosomal RNA
Rfam family: Bacterial small subunit ribosomal RNA
Source: RNAcentral
CCUACGGGAGGCAGCAGUGAGGAAUAUUGGUCAAUGGACGGAAGUCUGAACCAGCCAUGCCGCGUGCAGGAAGACGGCCCUAUGAGUUGUAAACUGCUUUUGUACAAGGGUAAACCUGAAUACGUGUAUUCAGCUGAAAGUACUGUACGAAUAAGGAUCGGCUAACUCCGUGCCAGCAGCCGCGGUAAUACGGAGGAUCCAAGCGUUAUCCGGAUUUAUUGGGUUUAAAGGGUGCGUAGGCGGAUUGAUAAGUUAGAGGUGAAAUGUCCGGGCUUAACUCGGGAACUGCCUCUAAUACUGUUGAGCUAGAGAGUAGAUGCGGUAGGCGGAAUAAAUUGAGUAGCGGUGAAAUGCUUAGAGAUAAUACAGAACACCGAUAGCGAAGGCAGCUUACCAGUCUAUAUCUGACGUUGAGGCACGAGAGCGUGGGGAGCAAACAGGAUUAGAUACCCCAGUAGUC